This 412-nucleotide ribosomal RNA is filed under the name uncultured bacterium. RNAcentral's name for it is "bacterial SSU rRNA". It matches the Rfam family "Bacterial small subunit ribosomal RNA", at positions 355 to 794 of the family's 1533-position model. The record is from RNAcentral.
UAGGGAAUCUUCCACAAUGGACGAAAGUCUGAUGGAGCAACGCCGCGUGAACGAUGAAGGCCUUCGGGUCGUAAAGUUCUGUUGUAAGGGAAGCGGUACCUUGCGAGAAAGCCACGGCUAACUACGUGCCAGCAGCCGCGGUAAUACGUAGGUGGCAAGCGUUGUCCGGAAUUAUUGGGCGUAAAGCGCGCGCAGGCGGCCUCUUAAGUCUGAUGUGAAGGCCCCGGCUCAACCGGGGAGGGCAUUGGAAACUGGGAGGCUUGAGUAUAGGAGAGAAGAGUGGAAUUCCACGUGUAGCGGUGAAAUGCGUAGAGAUGUGGAGGAACACCAGUGGCGAAGGCGACUCUUGGCCUAUAACUGACGCUGAGGCGCGAAAGCGUGGGGAGCAAACAGGAUUAGAUACCCUAGUAGU